CAAAGAUAAAAACACAGAUCCGGUUGGUAGUCCGGACGCAGUGGAUAAAUAUUAAUGAAAACGCUGUCAGUAACCCUCCUCCUUGGUCGUCCGUUCUUUGUUCAUUA
RNAcentral lists this non-coding RNA (107 nucleotides) under human gut metagenome. Its description in RNAcentral is "yjdF RNA". It matches the Rfam family "azaaromatic riboswitch aptamer (yjdF RNA)", at positions 6 to 91 of the family's 101-position model. The record is from RNAcentral.